Molecule: ribosomal RNA, 440 nt
Filed under: uncultured bacterium
Lineage: Bacteria
Description: partial 16S ribosomal RNA
Rfam family: Bacterial small subunit ribosomal RNA
Source: RNAcentral
CCUACGGGGGGCAGCAGUAGGGGAUAUUGCACAAUGGGGGGAACCCUGAUGCAGCAACGCCGCGUGGUCGAAGGAGCGUUUCGGCUCGUAAAGUCCUUUCGUGAGGGAAGAAGAUGACGGUACCUCGCGAAGAAGCACCGGCUAACUCCGUGCCAGCAGCCGCGGUAAUACGUAGGGUGCAAGCGUUAUCCGGAUUCACUGGGCGUAAAGGGGGCGCAGGCGGCAAUGUAAGUCAGGUGUGAAAGCCCGGGGCUCAACUACGGGACUGCACGUGAAACUGUGUGGCUAGAGUGCGGGAGAGGGAGGGGGAAGUCCUGGUGUAGCGGUGAAAUGCGUAGAUAUCAGGAGGAACACCGGUGGCGAAGGCGGCCUGCUGGACUGUGACUGACGCUGAGGCACGAAGGCGUGGGGAGCAAAUAGGAUUAGAUACCCUUGUAGUC